CCAGCAUCCUAGCCGAAGCGCGGACCUCAGUCCCGGCUGGCCGUAUUACACCCUGGGCUAUAACACCUCCACCGAAGUGGAGGCCACAUUCCCAGAGCCUUUAUCCGGCCGCCGAAACUGAUGCUGGCCUGUCCAAACUGAGUAAACCGGUCAGAAGACCGGCCGAACAGUUUAAACAAGUCUGAUUGCAAGCGCUUCCCUUUCAACAAUUUCACGUGCUUUUUAACUCUCUUUCCAAAGUGCUUUUCAUCUUUCGAUCACUCUACUUGUGCGCUAUCGGUCUCUCGCCAAUAUUUAGCUUUAGAAGAAAUUUACCUCCCAUUUAGAGCUGCAUUCCCAAACAACUCGACUCGUCGAAGGAGAUUUACAUAGGGUGCCAUUUCCUGUCACAUACGGGAUUCUCACCCUCUAUGACGUCCUGUUCCAAGGAACUUAGACAGGCGGCUUCCCCAAAUCAUCCUCUACAAAUUACAAUGCGAACCCGAAGGCUAGCUUUCAAAUUUGAGCUGUUGCCGCUUCACUCGCCGUUACUAGGGC
RNAcentral lists this ribosomal RNA (537 nucleotides) under Aureobasidium proteae. Its description in RNAcentral is "partial 26S ribosomal RNA". The record is from RNAcentral. Lineage: Eukaryota; Fungi; Ascomycota; Dothideomycetes; Dothideales; Saccotheciaceae.